GCUCUGGUGGUGCAGUAGUUAAGCACUCAGCUGCUAACUGAAAGGUUGAUGGUUCAAACCCGCCCCGUGGCU
RNAcentral lists this transfer RNA (72 nucleotides) under Loxodonta africana (African savanna elephant). It matches the Rfam family "tRNA". From Rfam's summary of the family: Transfer RNA (tRNA) molecules are approximately 80 nucleotides in length. Lineage: Eukaryota; Metazoa; Chordata; Mammalia; Proboscidea; Elephantidae. The record is from Rfam by way of RNAcentral.